This 73-nucleotide transfer RNA is filed under the name Dipodomys ordii (Ord's kangaroo rat). It matches the Rfam family "tRNA". From Rfam's summary of the family: Transfer RNA (tRNA) molecules are approximately 80 nucleotides in length. Their secondary structure includes four short double-helical elements and three loops (D, anti-codon, and T loops). Lineage: Eukaryota; Metazoa; Chordata; Mammalia; Rodentia; Heteromyidae. The record is from Rfam by way of RNAcentral.
GAGGGUGUGGCUCAAGUGGUAAAGCACUGGCCUAGCUAGCCUGAGGUUCUGAGUUCAAACCUCAGUAUUGACA